RNAcentral lists this long non-coding RNA (25408 nucleotides) under Gallus gallus (chicken). The record is from RNAcentral. Lineage: Eukaryota; Metazoa; Chordata; Aves; Galliformes; Phasianidae.
CGGGCGCAACCACUCGGGGAGCGGCGGGGGGAGGACGCGGGGCUCACGCGCACGCAUCCCGCCCCGGGAACGAGGGGAGGGGGGUGAGGAAAAUGUCCGCCCGCCGCUCUGCCCCGGCCGCUCCCUCCGGAAGGGGGCUCGGCGGCUCGGCGCUCGGCCGGGCGGGCUUGGGGCGAGGCUUGCGGAAGCCCGAGCCGCCGGUGGGGCGGACCGGGGAGCGCCGAUGCGCCGCCAUUGGGUUAAGGCGGGCCGGCCGCCAUUUUGGAUGCCGAGUCGCCUCGCUGCGGGAAGUCACACAAAGGACGUGCGGUCACACCAGGACAAGAAGGUGUUUUCAGAAAAGGUUUGAGCCAGCACUGUCAGGAGAGGUCCCCUGCCCUCCUCCUCCUGGCAGUGGAGUGACUGCAUAAUAAACUCCAUCCGCAUGCUGAUCCAGGUAAAAGUGAUCCAACUAAAAAUGUUGGCUUAGUUUUAACCUAGAUCAGGUCCAUCAUCUGCCUCAUUAUGAAUGUAGAAAUGCCUGUGCUUGCACAGUAGAGGAGACAGGGUAGGGGCUGAGUUUGAGUAACAGGGAGCAAAAAAGAAGGCUUCUUCCAGCAGUGUUGGCUCAUGGUAGCAUUAGUUGAUCGCUCGUUUAAGGCAGUAAGGUCUGAGGAGCAUUGACAGCAUUGUUGCUUUAACCCUUACAGGGUUAGGUAGCAGAAACAAAGUCUGUUUCUGGAUUUUCCUAGGUCUUAGCUCACGUGUCAGGGUUCAUCCUUGGUACUUCCCUUAUUUGUUGUUUUGUGCAUGUGUGUGCGCAUCUAUUACAUAUAAUUUUUGAUGGAGUUUAUCCUUUACUACCUGAAAACGCUGACAUCCUAGGACGUCAGUAAUUACAAAAGGAAGCAUCGUGGUUGCAGAGCACUGCCACCCAUUUUCCCUGGUAUCUUCAAACUCUGCAUGUACUGUGCAAGGUUUUAUUCAGUUUCCUGUUCUAAAGCAAGCACCCCCUUUCUCUGCUCCUCCAGUUGCUAAGCAGCAGCUCUUCUCCCCAUUAGCCAGCCAAGUAUUUGCAUGAAAAUAAUCAAGCUUGCAUAUAUAACUGCUUCUAAUCAUGCAGUUAAACAGCUGUACAGUAAAAAAAAGAAUAUUAGUAAUAUUAGUUAUCAUCAAAACUGAUUAUUUUCUUUAAAGUUAGAAUGUCCACGUAGAGUAAAAUCAGUACAGGUAUGCUUUUCUUAACAAAAGACGUUUCAGUCUCUUCUUUCUCUUACCCCAUACUGUAUGCCUACUUAGAAAAACUGUUCAAAAAUGUUAUUUGCAGUUCCCAAAAAAUGUCUAAAUGCAGCUGUGAGCAGACCAAACUAACUUCAUCAGUGAAAAGCCACCUUUUGCAAAUGUCUGAUUCUAGUAGCAGAAUCCAAAAGUACUUGGUGAUAAAAGAUUCGACUAUAAUACAGAAGGUAAUGUUUUGUACAGUACUGUAUGGUACAUCCUAACUUCAUAAUUGACUUGCGUAUCCAUGUUUGAGUUCCUGUUGAUUUUCAAGGCAUUCGGUAUUUCUAAGGUCUGUUUUUAUUGGCAUGGUCAUCACGGGCAAGCACGUAGGAAAAUUCGUUAUAUGGGAGUCCUGACAAACCUUUCUUAUGCUCCCAAUAGCCAGACCUACUCUUGCUAUAAUUUGAGGCAGCGUUGCGCACACCCACUGUGCUACAUACUGCUGGAAAGUCAAGUGCUGUCUGACUGUCAGCAGAUAAAAAUGUAAGCACGGGGUAUGAAAAGCAAGGAGCUGAGCAACUCCCAGGCUACCAGACUGGCUUAAAGUGCCACUUGGGUUGCAGAAUUCAUUUGUAGAGGUAACCGUGCUUUGAAAAUUGUGCUUGAGAUUCUAAUUCAUGAGAACUCCUAACAACAAAAAAAUUCUUAGUGAAUUGCUACAGGCUAGGCAAUUGGCUCUGAAGUGUACUGCAGUUGGGUUUUAUCGGAACCAGAGCAAUAACACAUUUAAUUAAUGAUCUUACAGCAAUGUUUUACCACUAGAAAACUGAUGAGAAAACUGACCUCGUCUCAAGCGUAAAAAUACUUGAAGUAUUAAAGCCAUCUUUUAGCGAUGACUCUUAAUAAACCUGUCAGAGCAAGAAUGGUGCUCUGAAUGGCCACGUGAUUGCAAGAUAAAUACGUUUGAAAGAGAACCCAAGAAAGUGUUAUGGGCAACUGUGACAGUAUGUGGGGCCUAGGAAAAAAAUAAAACAGAGUAAAAAAUAACGUGAAAGAAAAUUCUUUCCUGUAUUAAAGGUAUGUUUGUGGGGGGGAUUGUUUGGGGUUUUAUUCAUUUGUUUUUGCUUUUAAUAUAAUUUAUUUUACUGGCAAAGGAAUUGAAUUAGGUUUAAUUUGUGCUCCAAGAAAAAGAUUCAGUAUAUUGCCAUACGAGAAAUUAAGUUGGGCGCAUAAAGAAUUUCUAAUGGGAAGAGAAGGGCUAUAAAACUAGAAGUUGCUUACAAGCAGACUCUACUGUUUAACAUCUUUAGGAGUGUUUUAUUUUGUACAUAAAUAAAAGUUGAUAGUAACCUUAAUUUUGGAAAACAGAUAUACAAAAGAAGAAUCGUCUGGCUUGCAUCUGAAUAGAAGCAUCGUAAUAUCUUGUCUUGCAUAUGAAGUGCAGGGUUUUGAACUUGAAAAUGGCUAAGAAUUUUCUGCUCUGAACUAGAAACUCCUUAAUCAGAAAUGGCAGAAGAAAAGUUCUGGGGGUCAGCCCUAAAGUGCAUGAGGUUAUUUCCAUGAAAGCUAGUGAUACAUCUGUGUGAUUGUACGAGAUCUUGGUCCAACCUUAUUUGGACUAUUUUUUAAGUCAUCAAGAGGGUUGAAUUUAAACUAAACCAGGUGCAGAAUAGGGUUAUAAAAAUGAUCAUGGGUAGGAGAAGCCUGUUUUAUCAAGAAGAAUCACUUGGCUCCAUCUAGAAAAACAAACAAUGAAAGAGAACAUAAGAGGAGUUUUUGUAAGUAUAUUGCUAACUGUGGCAUAAGCAGGAAGGAAAAAUAUUUAAGCAAGAGAACAGUACUGAUGUAGAAUGAUUAGCUACAAACCGGUCAUAAUAAGUUUAAGCUGGAGAUUAACUUGCCAUGGAAGAUUUCUAACCAACAGAGGAGUGAACUUCUUCUCUGUGUGGAAGGAGGAGAGCAGAGCAUUGUAGCAAGUUUUAUUAUGGAAGUUGAUCGGAUUACCAAAGGUUCUGUGAUGUUCUUUGCUGUUUAUCACAUGACUGCGUCCGAUGAUCAGAAUUUAAGAAGAAUUGCAUGUAGUUCACUGAACAUUUCAAUUAUAGGUUCCUCUCAUUGAUACAGACGAUUUAGCCAUUAGGAUAAAGAGUUCUCAUCAUCACUGCACAAAACACAUUCUAUGCCAUGUUUUCACGUCAGAAAAUCUUAGCUGUACAAAAAGCAUUGCAGCAGGUUCUACCAUCACCUUCUGUAUGUGUGCAAAUAAGUUGUGCAUACAAAUUCUUACACGUAAUGUUUAUAUGAAAAUACAAAACUACAUUUAAACCACUUUAUUUCCUGGGUUGCAUUUGUAUGUAGCAAUUUAUAUUUCAAACAAAAGUUUCAAUUGAAAGUUAUUUGACAGUAACUCUUUUUUCCCCCCAACAUUUUCAGGUCUUACCUUGGCCUAAUGUCGGAAGAACCUACCAGUGAAUGUGCAUGCAGGAGAACACAUAAGUACUCAAGGAAACUAUCUCAUCUGAAAUGUAAAAAUGAAUAAAGAUUUGCACAUACGUAACAAAACAGACCUAUACUAUUUUUUUGGUAAAAAAAAUUCAUUCGUUAACAGCAUAUACAUAAUACAAGAAGAUUGACAGUAAGCGUGUGAUUUUGGAUCCAGAGAUAAGGCAAUAUUUAUCUGCUCUCUGCUGAUGGAGUUCUGUAUGUCAAAAAGGGGUUGAGGUUUCCUCCUAUGUUAAGAGAAUGGCAUGUUGUCAAAACCAAAAUAUUUAUAUGGUUCUGUAAUGAGUUUAGUGUAACACGUGUUGUUAGAGGGCAGCUAACAGUAUAGUAACAAGUUUAGUGGCUGGAUGUAUGAUGGAAAGAAGUUCAUAGAUGAAAUUUGAUUAAGAUGAACUAAUUAAGUCUUAUAUAAUUGAGGAAUACUACUAAAGUAGUUGUAUGAGCAGAGUUUCUGAAUCAAAGUGAUUAAAAAACUAGAUGCCUGUAAGAGUUGGGUAUGGCCAUAAAAGAGAAGACUAUGCGUAAUGACAUCCAACAUUUAAACAUGAGUACUGUUCGUGUGAAUGGUAUGUUUGUCAGUGAGAGUUACCGGCAAGUUGUGCAGUAAAAAGGAAAAAGAAAAUGGUUGAGCUUUUGAAUAGCUUUUGUCAUAAAAAGAAACUAAUUACUUUUACUUUUACAUCUUACAUACAUUAUCUCUUCCCAAGAGAAAGUAUGUGUGACUUGGUAGGGUUUACAAGAACUAUAUCACUUGUAUGUACACAUACAUCACCCUACCGAACUCUGAAAUUUCUAUUCCAUACAAUGGAGCUGAGGUAAAUGGUUCUAAGAGCUGUUUUCACACUGGCAAACAAUUUUCCAUAUUCUUGUUCUUAUAAGUAGCUGAAACUCUCCACUGAAAAAAAAAAAAAGAGUUAGCCCAAGUGAUUGAAAUAGUUAAUUUAAAAGAUUCCAUAGUGGAAAGUUUCUAAGUAGCGUAACUGCAGAAUGUCCUAUCAGUCUCCUAAUUUAUGCAGCUAACUAUAUGUACACAUGUGGUUAUUAUUUGGAUUUUCAUUGUUUCAAAACGUGAAGUGUGUUUCUGUGAAUGUAUCACAAAAAUGGGGCUGGAUGGUAAGUGGUGAAAUCACCUGGUCUGCCAUGCAGUCUGAUUUACAAGCAGCAUUCCCCAUUCAUGCAUCAAAGUGAAAGAAGCUUCUGUCUGGUAUGUUGAUCACAAACAGCCAUCUGUUAUCCAGGAAGAGAUAGGAGAGUCGCCAGCAGAGUAAACUUAAAGUGCUUUAAGAUUAAAUUGAAGAUGGCAGAGGCCUAUUAAAUGCUUUCCCCAUCUCUGUCACUAUUGGUUUCUGUAACAUAUGAAUGCAUACUUUAUGCUGCUGUUCCAGAUAGCAACUAUUUUUUUCCACCCAUUAAGUCAAUUACCUGUAGUUUAGAACACAGUUUAAGAUUUCCUGUAUUGUCUGUCUUCCUUUUUAUCACCUCAUUUUUAUUUUUUAUUUUUUCCUUCUUGGUGUUUCUUCCUGUCAAAUAACUUUCCAGAACAAGAUGAAUGUUAAGAAAAAUACUAUUUUGAACUUCUCAUUUGCUUACCUUAAGCUACACUUGCUUGUGUUUGCAACAUUUCCUUUCGAGUCUUUCCAGCCCCCAAAGAAUUUCUGUUAUUUUUAUGUGAAUUCCAUCCAACUUGCUGAGAUCUUUUUGGUAAUAUGCCUGGGACUCAUUGGCAAAUUCCAGGUGUGAUUACAAAGGGCACGGACAAAGAAUUUAUGGUUUAUGUCUAGAUAGAGCCAUUUACGUUGUUUCAGGUACCCACACGACCUCUGUGUGUAGGACGGAAUGAAUUGCCAGAGGAUGUUAACAUCUGGUUCACCAAGAGGCUUGAGGCGCUUAGUUGGUUGUUGACUGAGAAAGCAUUCCACAGCCUGCCCUAAAGCUAUGUGGAGAGAAACUGUUGCCUUCCUGCUCUAGGAUACAGUGCUUCCAAGUACGCAAGUCAAAUCUAAAUCAGUCUUUUUGUUGGUAUGCUGUUACAAAUUUAUUUGUAGUUUCUGCUUGCUUGUUAUCCCCACAUUCUUUACAAAUAUUAUGCCUUAAGGUUAUUUCCAUCCCAUUGAAUAUGUUCCAGAAUAUUUCCCUCAGUACUUUCCAUAACAGUAGCUUGUUUUUUUUUUUCCUCUGUACUCAACUUCAUCUUGCUGUUUUCUGACUGCAUUUUAACCCUUAUAAUUACUUUGAUAUACCUCCACGUCCCCAUAGUUGUCCACGUUGGGGCCUCUCAAAGAUUAAUGAAGAUGUCAAAGAAGACAGGGCCUCAUAACAGUUCCUUUGGCACCAUACAUGCACAGAUACAUUGUUGCUUGUCCUUUUUCACAGAAGUCUUUUAUUUGCUAUCAGUCUUCAGAUUUAUCUUGAGCUCUACAGUAUUCACUGUUUUCCUUAAGCUUCAGUUUCGAUACAGUCCUUACUUGUUUAAUCAUCCCUCAUUCAGCAUUGUAACCCAUCCAAUGCAUUCUGAGUGACUUGGAGGUUUCGCAAGAGUACCAGAUGCUUUCCUGAAAGUGGGAUAUGUGAUAUCUAAAGGCUUCCUCCAGACCUUGUAUUGUGUUUUGGCUUUUGGGAAGAGUGCUGUUUCUGUUGUAAACUAGAUACUGCCUAUGAGCCUGUUGGUCUUUAUGUCUAAGACUUUCAGACAUGCUUGUCCUAAGGUUAAGCUUAGCAUAGCUUAAAAUUUCAAAAGUUAGUGUUCUUAUUUAUGUUUACAACUAAAUGAUUUUCGUGACUACUGAAACCUAGCUUAAAGAAUGAUCGCUUAGCGCUUCUUAAUACUGUUCUCUUUUUCUCAGUACUGAUGGGUCUUCUCAAUUUUUCAGGGGCUUUCUUCCUCCAGGGCAGAUCUUAAUGGGCAUAUAUAAUCAGGAGUGGGAUAGAUGAAUGGUGUCCAUACAUUCAAAUGCAUCCUCUUAAAAUGCAGAAAGCCACAGAAUGUCAUAGAACUAAUUGCUAGAGAUUUAAUAUUUACCCAGCAAUUAGCAGAGUUUUAUUUUGAUGUGACAUUCAUCAGUUAACUGAUGCACUUCCUAACUCUUUCUAAAAAGAAAAGCUCAUUUCCAUACGAAGAUACAAAUACUAGCUGCUAAUUAAUAAUACUGUAAGUAUUUUUAGAUAUUGGUAGACAGAUGGCACAUCUGGUAAAAAGGCAAUGCAAACAGAGUGGUGUAAAGGUGUAACACAAUGGAAAGCACAGCAACAACAGCAGAGUAGCACAGUUCUAGGCUGCAGAGAGUGAGUUUGCCCAAAUGCAACAGCCAUAGAGACAGAAAUCAAGGAAAGAAGCUGCUUACCUUCAGAAGACCUCAGGUACACAGAGAUCUCCAGCAAGAUACCCUCACCUCCACUGCCAACCCUUAAAUGAGGUCUGGGAAGGGGUGGAUCUUGGCUCCAUCCCUUCUGAUCACUCAAGUGCAUUGCAUACACCUGAGCUCCUCUGGGUCGGCCCUGCCUUCCCACCAGGUGCUCACUGUUUCAAGCCAUUACUUAGCAUUUCUGCUACAAAAAGUAAUCCCAGAAAGAUAUUACUAGAGCUGAAGUCUGUCCAGAAUAUGGUCUUCCUAAAUACAUAUUCCCUAAAUAAAUACUGUUGUGUAUGCUUGGUAUAUAAGAAUAUAAUUACUAAUGUAUUACCACCACUUACAUUGAUAUCUACUAAAGGUUGACACUUUAAGUACAAGCCUCGUCAGCACACAGAUCUACCUCAACAAUUUUGGAGACUUGCAAAUAACAUUUAUUUUCUUGCCAGUAUAUUGAUUGUUGUGUAUCUUAAAGCAUGAGGUAGAUAUAGUUGGAGAUACAAAGAUAGGAAGAACACAAAUUUAUAAAGUGUUAACUGUUAUUCUGAUGUGAUAUGUUAGUGCAAAUUAGGAAGUACUGGAAGGAAAGACACCAUAAUUCUGUUUCCAGUUUCUAGGGAGAAAAUCUUCUGUGGUGGUUAUGAACCUCUGGUCAGGUACAGAAAUCAGAUACUUUUACUCUGGCAGCUGUGCAGUUAAAUGACUGAGACUCGAUUUUGCUUUAGUUAGAAAUGCAGUGAUAGCUGUUUUCCUUCAGAAGUAGUAACUUGAUGGCUUGGCUAAUAACAUCAAGCAACGCUAACCCCCAAAUCCAUAAAAUAUAGACACUGCCUUCUUCAGUCUCCCUACCCACAGCAUCUUCACCUUUCUUUUCCUGUGCUGCUUUAAAGGUUAUUUUGUGGAGAUAGUAUUUUGAGUAGCUGUUUUUCUCAGGACAGAAUAUAGACUUUUGACUUAUUUGGAUGUUUUAUUAUAAUACUUCAAUGAUGUGCUCUCACUUGGACCAUGCUUUUUGCUAAAGAAAAUGAUCAGAUUGAAACUAUUAACACGGGGAAAAUAGGAAAUGGUCAUACUGUAAAAAUAACUGUGAAAAUGUAUCAGAUUGUUCAGAGAGGGAACAGCCUUCCUAGAAGUGAUCGUGUUCUCACACUUUGCUUUAAACACAUUCUUUAUCUUUAAAAGGAAACAGAAGAGAGUCAGUCAGUAAAUCAAACGUAGUCGUGGUCUAGUCUGCAAAACUCUAUCAUUCUGGAGUAAGGCAUUAGGUGUGGGCAUUUGAGACAAGAACUGCCAGUGCCAAGAUCUCCUGUGCUCUGAGAAGAGUGCAUACAGCUCUGGUUAGACAGUAUCUUUCUUGCAGCUCUUGAUGGUUUUUCUUCAUUGUCUGAAGAUAGCAGUUACGGUUGCUAUCUAUUAAAAAACAGGCUGUACUUUUCUACUGCAAGGAAUAAGGGUGUUGUGUUGUGUUUUAUUUUGUUUUUAAUAUCUGUUUAAAGAAGGAUAUUGGACUUCUUACCCAAAAACCUCUACCUUCACUUACUUGUUGGCAAAAUAAAAUGCAAACAACUGUUGAAAGACCGCAUGUUCUAGCUGCAACUUUUAAAGCCAGUUUUGUGAUAAAGAUUGCACUGCCAGUAACCUGAGUUUGUCUCUAUUGCUCCAGCACUGGAUCGUAAGUCAGUUCCCUAAUUUCUUCUUUACCUAGCAGGUACAAAAUUGCUUUUUGCUUUCAGUAACGCAAAAAUUGGUUAUUUUGAGCAAAAAAAAACCAGUAGUAUUUAUAUUUUUCAAGCUCCUUCAGAGUAGUUUUAUCUUCUAUGUCCUUAAUAAAAGCAAAAUAUUUCUAGCUAGUUUUAAUUCAGUCAUCAAUAAAAUGGGAACAUUGUUACUUUAGAGGUAAAAUAAAAAUCCAAAUUACUUGGCAUUAACUAUACUGCGACAGAAGAAUUCAUGAUUUCCUUAUUGGGUUCUUUGUAAUGUUCCUUACCAUACAUUACAUUUAUACUAUAUUACAAAAUAAUGACGGCAGAGAGUUGUCUGGGUCUCCCUGUGUCCAAGUGUUGUCCCCUGAGCCACUUGGGAGCUUCAUUCCAGGUGGUUGUUAUGGGCCAAAGCUGCUUGGCAUUGCAGGUGAUGAGCAGUCUGAUGUUCAGGUUAUUCCUGGGUACCACUCCAUUAAACAGUACAGGUGGAGCAACAGUGACUCAGAUAAGGUUUUUUAAGUGUUCCACUUUGCCAGGCUCGAAAGAAGACUUCUAGGGGGUCUUCAGUCUCACUGAGUUUCUUUCUUUUCUAAGUGCUUCAAAUACAUUAAUUUCAGAAUAUCCAAAUGAAUAAGUAAUAAGAGCACUUGCCUAGGAGCCCUUAGUCCCUGCACGCAGUACUGUGCAUUCAAGCUGUACAGUUACUGCUUAAUGAAAAUACAUAAGCAGCCUAGGAGUAUCCUUAUUCUUUCUGGCCUGGGUGUCUUCCAUUCCCCAGCACUGAUUGUCAGAAUCUUAAGGUGGACGUAAGAGAUGCUUUGUACACAGGCCUCUCCUGAUGGGAGUACUCUCCUAACAGACAGGAGAGGCUGAUUUAAGUCCUUCAAGCAGUAAAGGCACAGAAUUCAAUCAACCAUUUCCUUUCCAGCUGCUUUUGAAUAACGCAUUGUUCUAAUCUCUGUUCUGUGGUGUAAGAGUAGGUAACAAAGGUAUGUGUCCCAAAGGAGGGUGUGAUAUCUCUUACUUCUGCCAAAACUUAGGUCUAGAAAAGCUCUUAGGCAUCAGAAGUAAAUUGUUGCCUGAUGGCUAACCUGAAUUUCACCAAGGAGACAAAAUGAGCAGCAGUAAGUGGCCUCCUCUGAUGUGCUUUCUAAGCUGCCAUAUGUAUGUCUUUGGUUAGAAUUCUUAGGAAUACAAAAGCUCUCGUGCACUCUGGUUGCUAGGUACUACUUCUGGAGGACUGAGCUCUCCAGCUUCAUACACUUACCAGUCCUUAUUGUUGGAUAGUAUGCUACUUAGUGAGAACAGUGGUGUUCUGUGCUCGGUUGCAUGGCAAUAAGUGGCUGUGCAAAGGACAAAGUUCUAAAGAAUGAAGUCAGAAGGUUUUAUAUCUCAUAAGGCCUCUAAUCCUUCAGACCACUCGUGGUUUUGCAUUAUGAUAUGUUCAUGUUGUCUUAAAUGGGACUGCUUACCUAAGUGAAGUUCCGGGUGUAAUUGCACGCAGGUUCACAUCUGAGCAGUCACAUUUCAGUUUCAUACUGUAGCGCUGUAAUGAAUAGGACAGCUCUGAUGUUACCCCUUGGCCAGUCACGGUGAAGGGGUUUCUGAAACAGAAUAUGUUUCUGUGUAAUGGCUUACACUCCGUUUCCAUGCCUGUCCAAACUAAGUGCUUACAGAGGCACAUCACAUGGAGUAUUUUAACUGUUGGGUUGAGAGAGUCAUAAGGCAUAGAUUUUCAAUGCGGUAGGUCACGAGGCUGCAGUUUCACUGAGUUGUGUGUUGUAUUUGCAUAGGCAGAUAUUCAGCCAGUUAAUGGUAGCACAGAAUGCUUUAAUGAUUUUCAUUUGCAUCAAGCUGUUCUCACCUCUUAGUAACAUAAUGGAUAAAUAAAAGAGGCCUUUUGUUUGCUCUCCAUGAAAGUUACCAGUGAUUAAGUGGUGCUGAGGGAACAGACUGAUGCUCUUAAAAACCCAACAAAAAAACCCAACAAAAAAAGGAGCCACAACAGAACUGGCCAUCAAAGCCGACUUCAAAGUGACCUACUUCAUUCUGAGCUAAAAUGCCACUUGAAUAAUUUUAUUUUAAUGUUAUGCACAUUUCCUAACUCGAAACACAGACGUGGGCAUUCCAAACAAAAUACAGAAAGUUGCCCAUGAAGCACUCAUCGUUUGUGAGGGUCCACGUAGUAGUGCUGAAUUACAAACAAAGCGAUAUACUCUUAGACAAGUUUUUCUUCCAAAUGGAUUCAGCAGCCACUUUUAUUAUUAGAAAUUAUGUCCAGAAUAUAAACUGCAGGUAAAGUGAUACAUUUUGCACUAUGAUUGUGACUCCACUGGCCUGGUUUUAGCUUUGGUAUCUAGCAGUGCCGGUAUUUGUUUUCCUAAAUGUGUUAGAAUUUCAGCUCUGUAUGUGGUGCUGAAAACCACAGCCAAGACAGUGCAUAUCCUCAUUAGCCAGAUUUCCAUGGUCUCUAUUUAGGGUACAAGGGUACAAUAUUCCCGAUACCAGCUAGGAUAAACAGGCUUUCGAGUACUCGGGUUUUUUAUUUUCGAUUGAUAACUUCCAGUCCUUUCAGUUUCUAACCUCGUGCCUUUGAGAUAGUGAUCUUGAGCACUUACUUCUUGUGGCAUUCAACUUCUCUCUUUCAAGCUUUGUGGUAUUUAAAUCGAGAUAAUGAACCUGACUUCAUAUGUUUGGAACACCCUCCAUUUUCACAGAAUGAAUUGGGUGUUCGAGGCACACAAAAUAUGUAAAUUCAGAUCUGCUGAAUAUCUACUUUUAAUGGUCCUUCUGUUUUGUGUUGGCUUUGAUUUGUCCAGUGUUUGACUGGGGGCUAAUUAAAUUCCUGAAUGUACAAUAAGAAUAUGUUAGUCUAUCAAUUCCUUCACUGAUUUUAAUUCCUUUACUCUUCCAGUUAAUUUUCUUUUGAAUCUGCCUUUGUGUUCUCAGCGUGGCACGAAAGGACUAGUGAACAGCCUGAAUGCAGGGGAAGCUGAGGGAAAUUUCCAUCUGCAAUCAAUCUCCCCCAUUGCAAGAGGGGUGUUGGAUGUCAUUACGUGUCCGAUAAAGAUGGCUGAAUUCAGUGAUUACUGCCUGGGUAGCAUAGCAAUUCCUUAGAAAUUCGUUGCAGGAAGGAAGGAUUUAGGAUUUCAUCUAAGAAGAGAUCUGUGCGUACGAGGAUAUGAUUUUUUACCUUGGGUUAAGAAUAAAGUGAUAUUUGCAGGUAUGCUUGAUUUUAGGUGUAUAGUAAGAUGUAAAAUGUCAUCACACUAUUGGCAACAUAUUUCAGUACAUGUAGAUGAGGGGUGUAUUUUAUUUGUAUUAACAAUGUGGGUUGUGUGUUUACAGCCUAACAACGGCCUUAAUCAUCUUAAUCUUGUUUUUUUUCUCUUGAUGUGUACAACACGUUGAAAUAUAACUUCCUAAGUAUAUAUCAGUAGGAGGAUAUUGCAGAAGCAAACCUUUUAAGCAAAGAUGAAGCACUGUAGCUAAUGCAGAUAGAACUACAGCAACUCUUCUAGCUACAGUGGGAAAACUUUGCUCAGAAAUGUUAAUUGAGUGGUUUUAAUUGAGUGCCAGAAAACUGCUUCUGUGUGGUCGUUCCUGCUUAGAGAAUCUUCUAACUCAACGUCUUCCAUUUUUCCUUGUUUCUUUCUUUCUUGGCUAGCGGUUGCUUCCAUAAAUUGGAUUUAUAAACUAUGAAUCUAAAGAAGAUAGCAUGUUGUCUGGAGGAUUUGAUCCAGAUGUAUAUUAUUACUUCUUUGAUAAAUAUCUUUUUAAGUACUUAUGGUGAAGAAGGAGCUUUUCUUUUUUGCUUUUUGUUGGUUGUUUGGGUUUUUUUUGGGGGGGGGGGGAAGAGAGGAGGUGGGAGGGUUAGGUUUGUUUGUUUUUUUUAAUGUUUUAAUAUCCCAAGCAUCUUACUAGCAGCCAAAUUAAUGCUGAAUAAAACUCCAGAAAAUCCAAUAGUAUUUCAGCAGGGAUUCAUUCAGCCCUUGGGUUUUGGGCUGUAUCGUAUUGCAAGCUCUUAAAAAUAAGAGUGUUUGGAAAGCUGCAGGCUUCCCAUCUUUUUGUCUGGAAAAGUUAUAAAAUGGAACAGGCAGGCUUUUCACUGAGCUGCUGAGAACGCAGUUCUGGCUGUGCAAUCAGGACUAAAUAAGGAGCAAGAUCUGCACUAAAAAUAGAAAUGGAGGCUGAUCCAACUGCAGCGGGAGUUACAAUCCUUGCACAGCGAAGGGUUGGUAGGUUCAGCUGAGGACACUCAGUUACAGAAAAUCAAAUAAACUGUAUCCCGCUCCUGUAAAGCCAUCAUGCCCUAACUGCUCUAACUGGAUUUUUAGCAGUCAGCAGAACUAUUAAUCAUUCCUGCAAAUUAACAUCUUAUUUCAGAUGCAGAAUUUUUUCAGAGAGGGAAUUAUAUUCACCCCACAGCAAGAGGGAAAUAUGGGCUGGUUUUACGUAACUGUUUGGAGAACGUAGGGGAAAAUUGCACAGAUUUGAUGCACUUUCUCAAGGCUGGAGAAAUGCAUUCAUGCUAUUCUUUUGAGCAUUAAGCUGAUGUGCCUGCUGAUAUUAUAGACUCAAGGUGGGCACGCUCUGCUGACUCAGCUAUCUUGCCAGGCCUUGGAACCUUGUCAUGGACUGCAGAUUUCAUAGUAGGUGCUUUGAGGGAGGUUACUCUGCUCAUUUCAAGAACAAAGUACAGGACACCGUAGGUCAUUCCAGCCCUCUGCUGUGUCCUCUCCUGUCCUGUCUUAUCCUGUCCGUCAUUGGGAGCGCAGUUCAGGAAAUGUUGAAGUAUUUGGGUCAUUUGACACAUGGGAAAGCCUGGACAGUGGAGAGAGUUUGUGGAAGAAGACCAAAAGACAGAGAUCAUUAAAAUUCCACAGGCCAAGAAAAAUGUGUCAGUAAAUUAUGAAUUAAUUACUUCAUUUUCCUUUCUUAUCUCCCUCCCCAACAGAAUAUUGAUGACAUUAUUUCUUAUGUCCAGACUCCUCUCCCAGCACCCAUAGUUUCAUCUCUUCCACAUCCCAUAUUGAGCACGCAGUUCAGCAGAAGCUGAGUGCAGCUGCCCUGCAGAAGGACAUGAUCAGCACAGUGAUGUUGGGUAGGGAGGAAGCAGCCUCCGUCUCCAGCUGAGUUCAGAGGCCUGUUGUUGUGGGAGGGGAAAAAAAAAAGAAUGCAUGCAGUCAAGGAGGUAUAGAGAAGGAAUGGCGAUCAGAAAUCGCAGCGAGAGCUGAAAUAUGUCUAUCAUUGUAUUUUGGUUGCAUGCAAAUCUCACACAGAUGGUUUCAUUUACCAACUUUAGCUUAAUCUUUAUUAGACUACAUGGGCUUUGUCCUCAUUUAACUAUGGGCUGUGCACUCCCAGCUUUUGUGUACCUUUAGCUGUUACACUUUGGAACAAAUCAUUUGGUAUAAUAAAAGCAACAUAGCCCCGUAGUGCAGAUGUAGUAAUAUUAAUGACUUCAUGGAAGUAAGCUGUGUACCUAUAUCAACUCAAUGAUUAAGCUAAAAAAAAAAAAAAAUCACACCCAAUCCAACAAAGAAUUGUUAAAAUUAUGUGUGCAAAGAGAAAAAUAAUUUUAGUAACAUGCUUUAAGUAACUGAAUGUUGUAGAAAGAGGAAACGGUAUUACCUGAACUCACAAUUUCAGUUUAGCUAGGGGCUUUUAAAAACGUUGUUUCUGUUUAUGAUGAGUUGGGUCAUAGGUUGGGAAACCACAGUGAUAUAACCGAAUUGCUAGGAGAUGACUACCAAACUGAAUAUAAACAGGUAGGCAAUUUUACCUUAGCUGCUCUUUCACGAUUAGUCUUGAAUGUAAUAAUUAAUUCUGCAGGUCCUUACACAUGCAAAAUGAAUGAACUCAAGACUUUUUUUUUGUUAAGUUGAAUUUGUUUGUGUUUGUCAGAGCCCUUUCAAAGUACGAGGGAGGUCACAGCUGUUCUUUUCAUUCACACGUAAUCUGGUAAAACAAACAACAUAUGUAUGGGGCGUAAGAGUUUAGCACUCAGAACACAGGGAUUUGUAUAUGAAUUUGAAAACUGUAAAUAACAAAUUAUGCUUAACCUUUAUCUUUCCACCCAUCAACCUGAUUUGUUAGUAAAGAUUUGUGUUGGAAUUGAGGUUUUAAUGUGUUACAUUGUUCAGAAAAUAACACUUUCUCCAAGUGCAAGAUAACAAGGUCCGUGUUUACAUUCUCAGCCUUAAUUCUAAUUGUCAUAAGUCUCCUAGAUUUACAUAAUUAGUACAUUUACAUAAUCACUGAAGACCUUCAUCUGCACUCCACUGAAAGUAGACCUGAACCCUGCUGAAAAAUCACACUUAUUCAUACUUCAUAGUGCAAGCAUACAGGACUGACCGCAGAUGUAGGCACAAAGACUUUUCUUUAGAGCUUGAUGGCAUCUGAGCGCCUGAGUGAGCGUGGUAGUUUAGCACACUAGCACAGAAAUGCUCAUAAGCAGUCUGCUCGCAGUCCAUGCUGUCAUAUUGUAUCUGGAGUGGAUAGGGCUUGGGGAGAGGAGGUAUAGAAUAUAGUCAUGCUCACAUCUGGGCCAAAGGACUUUUUGUUCUGUCACAGCGUAGGCAGUAGUUGUAGUGCUCUUAUUUACUCAGGGAGAUGGAGCUUCCAAAUGCUGAAUAUUAAAAAACAAACACAAAGCACGUCACUGAGUCUCUUCCAAGUGGGAAGAUGAGCUGAAUAUUUCACAAGUACUAAACAAUUCAUCCCUCUUUUUCUCCUUGAUGGAGACAGCUACAGAAACCCAUUAGUUUGCAUGUUGUCACAAGGAGAUUUGCUCUUGCAUCAGACAUUGAACUUAUAUUCGACUUUCUCAAACCACAGAACCCUUACCCGUCAUUUUACUCUAGAAAUACUGCCAAUUCAGGGGAAAAACGCUUGCUAGACUGAAACACUAGAAAGCAGACAAAUACUUCAAAGCAGAAUAGGUGGUUGCAAUUCUGUUAAAUGAUAGUAACAAAGAUGAAUUUCCUGUAGGAAAUGAGUAAUUCAAGGGAUAUGGGUUAGAACUUGACACCAUGCGAGUCACGACUGAAAGUUAUCACCAUCUGUUUUUGGAUGGCCUCUUUACAGCUAGGUCAGACCUUUAAACUGCUUUUCUGUGGCCAAAUACCUGUAACAGAAAAGCCACCGUGAUUGUUAGCUGUCGUCUUAUAUGGCUUGAGUUGGUGCUGUGAGAGCGUGACAUUACUGUCUGUGCCGGGAAGUAAUUAAAUUAUAGCACUUGCAUGAAAUCUUUUCUUGUGUCUUAGUCUGCAGAGUAGCUUGGUAAAAGGUUUCAGUAGACACUCCUAUUCAAAACAUGGACAGGAAAUCAAAAACAUUUGAAGGCAUCUUCUCAAAAUAGAACGGUCCUGAAUAGACAUCUUCACAGCACGGGUCAGCAAGAAGAUGACUUCUUCAUCUCAGGAAUCACAGUUUCCUUUUAUACUUAUCUGCCAAGCCUUCUAAUUACCAAAUUACUUGGCAAAAAUCAAGUAGAACUCAGCAUAAUUACCUUUUUGAUCUUCACUUGCCAAAAGAGUUCUGGUUUCCUGAAUAGGAUAUUCAUGGAACUCAGGACUUCUGUGCAUUUCGAGCCAGAGAACAAAGGAAUGGUUUGAUACCUGGACUUUAGGUGAUUUCCUCUCCUAGCCUGCAUGCUGAAUGGCUGACAAGGAUAGGAAAUCUUGCUUUGCACUCAGUCUUCAUCAGUGGUAAAAAGGCAAGUUUAAUUGGCAAAACAAAUGAAAUUCCUCUAGAAUGUCUAUAAUACAUUUAAGGAAUUGCCACAUAACAGUUUAAACUAUCUUCUGGCUUAAGAGCAGUCACCAAUCCUGAAAGGUUGAAAGAAGUUGAGCUUGCAGAAGUCUCUACUCAGUGGCUUCUCCCAUGCCACUGAACUGUGGUUCUUGAAAGAUCUAGCCAAGGUAAAUACUCCAGUCUGAGGAAGAUGAACUGGUCUCAUCAGCUUUCAGGAGUCCCUAUCCUUGACAAGAGUUUUACGUUCUUGUUUACUUUUGUCAGAUAGGAUGACCUGAAGGCUGUCACUGUGAGAAGAGCAAAAAUUUCAAGGAGCCUCAAGGCUUAUAUCUGCUCGAUGGGCGUAUGAGCCCUCAAAGUCACAUAAGCAAAUGUCCAACUCCAGCAGAUAUUCAUAUGCACCCCCCCUAGAACUCCUGUUGCUGUUUCAUUCGUAACUUUUCAUUCAUUUUGAUGCAUAAAAAGCUUUUCUGCAGGUUUGUCGUGCAGUGAAACACUAGCAGUACCUGAUAGCGUGAGGAUGUUCAAUCAUAAACAGCUUGUUUUAAAGCUAUACCUGCACAGCAAUAUAGAUACCUAAAAAACUAAGCAAAAUUUGCAACACGUUGCCAGGCAAAGUUUUAUGAUGAAGGUAAACCCUCACCCCUAAAAGCAAGAAAUAAGGGCAUCAUAGAAAUAAAAAUGGGCAAGAAUACUUGUGCUGUCAAAGAAUUCUGUAUAUUUCCGGAUUACAGCCAAGCAAAACGUAGGUAAGCAUCCAUCUGCAAUCUGUGUAGUUGCAGGAUGUCUGUUCUGCCAACUCAUCCCUUAAAUAGUAAUAAUUUCCUUGUAGUUGUCCUAUUGUCAUACCUUAUGCGCAGUUGCUUGGACUUGCAGGGUGGCUCAUAAAUACAGUAAACAGGAGACUAGAUAGGAAAAUGAGGAUACAGGAGACUAAAAAACAGUUAAUAAAAAGAGUAGGAAAAUGAUAGCAGAGCAGAAGGGGAGAAAAAGAAUAAGCUCCGAGGAACGUCAGUGCCAAUAAAUGUAAUAUCCUACUCUUGAGCAGAAGAGAAUAAAGCACAGAUGGAAAUGGGAGGGUAUAUUCAUCCAAACCCAUUAUAAGAAAGCAAGCUGAUUGUUUCUCUUCUGUUCUUUACAGUGUUUUUAUGUCGCUUCUAUAUAAAAUCAUGCAUUGUCAUUGGUGAGGAAAAGGUAUAGCUAGAAUUUAGAAGGUCCUUUAAAAGCAAGCAUAUGCUGCAGAAAUAGCGAGCAACAGAGACGGGAAAUAAGUGAUGGUGGCCAUUCAUUCCUAGAGAAUUCACAGACUUUCUGAAAGCGAGGGAUCAAAUCCAGCCUUCAUCCUCCACUUCACUUAAAUGAGCUGCAACGGUCACCAGCAGGUUUGUCUUCCUGCAAGUCAGAACUCCACUUUUGGACUUUGGACUCUUACCUUUGCCCUUUCAUUUCAGCGAAAGACCAACACGUACAUCCGAACACAGAAUUAUUUUAUUUUCUGUCAUGAUCAAACCCAAAUGUUAUUUUACCUCUGCCAGCUUUGUGUAGGGUGAUGUGCCAUCUUGCACAUUUAUUUUCCUGGAGUGAUUCCCAGAAGUAUGCUAUGCUUUUUCUUGCUCAUGUCUCACUCGCUUUAUUUAUGAGUUGUCUACACCAGGUUUUCAGUCCCCGGGGAUGGGCCUACACAGGAAAUCUGUAGACAAUAUUUAAUACAUGAAAGUAGGAGAGCAGCAAAAAAGCACAGAAAUACUCCAAAGGAUCUAAUGCACAAUAUUCACAGUUUCACCUGGAUCAUGGUUAGCUUAGUGUCCAUGUUUUAAACCACAAACUCCUUUAUCUGUUUUGUCACGUAGAAGGAAAAGAUGUGGUAAAGAUUGCUAAGUCUGAAAGAAAUUUUACUUAAUGCUCACCGAUGCUCUUCAGCUGCUAAAAAUUUAAAAGCUGAAAUCUCACAGUGCACCUUUGUAGCAGAGUUAUGUCGUGGUAGAGGAGUGAGAAAUGAAAUACCAUAGCCUGGCUCUCUAUUUGGAAUACGUAGCCUCAGUGAGCCUCACUUUUACAGAAAUCUCUGUUAGUUCUUGGGGAAUUUGGUGGAUUCAGUUUCUCAAACUGGGCACACAGAGCUCGGGAGACACUGAUUUAACAUAAGACUAAAUAAAUACAGGCUGUUAAAAUUCGCUAGUUGCUUAACAGUUUAAGGGUAAAUGACUUUUACCUGAACCGUUUUAAUUGUGGAGUAAAGGCCUUCCAUGCUCAACAUCCAUACGUAAUCUGAAAUAUCAAACUUGUGAGUUAAAUGCUGUGGGGGUGGAUGUUCAGUUCAAAAUACCCAAAUGCAAUUAAGGACAAUGAGCCAACAUUUCCAGGAGAUAUCCCUGUCAAGUGGAAACAACUCGAAGAGCAAAUUUUAACCUGGUUUACAGAAUUACAAUUAAGUUACCCUCCGAUGAUGACUGAAUCUAAUAGCAGCAUCAUAAUGUUGCAGCUCUUGGUUCUUACUGAUCGCACAAAAAGGGUAUUUUUAAACAUUUUUCUCACUAUUAGGUUUGUGUACUCCUAUUAGCUGGAAAAUACAUCAAGAUAAGGCCUUCUUUCUCCCAUGCCAUCACAGCUGGAAACAGCACUUUGCUGAUGAAAUCUGAUUGGUAUCACAUUAUGCCUUUGAUUACACCUGUGCAAUCUCAUUAAUUGAGGAAUAAUGUGACCUAAGGAAACGUAAUGGUUAGUAACACCGUAUAGGAAAGCUGAUAUACAAAAUUUGAUGUGCAUUUUAAACUACAGUUGUAUUUAUAGGUCAACUGCCUGAACAAACACUUUUUACCAUCUCCUAGGCUUACUGUGAGAUGCCACAAGCCUUGACUGUUCCUUAUCAUACAGAUAAGUGACAAAAUAGGUCAGGCCAGAAAGCAGGGCAUCAUCCCUACCCAUCUGAUGUUCCGAUUCGUGUAAGAAGUCAAUCUGAUAUUCAUGCUUGCAUUCUUCACCUGGCAAAUGUUCCAUUGCUGUGUCUCUCUAUAACCACUGCACUGGGUGUGAUGAGUCUGCCACCCAACCUAGCUUGUCAAUACAUUGAUACAUUGCAGGGAUGCUCUUAAACUUGCUCUUGGGGCCUGCAAGCUGCAAGCACAGGAUCUCACUCUCAGGGCUGCCUACGUGCCUGCGUACACGAACUGGGAUUCAGUGAGGUGCUCAGCACAGCGCAUGGGUGAUGUGGGGCUGCUGGUACGUGUGAGAACAAGCAGAGUAGGGAGCGCAGCGUGAAGCCAGCCAGAACCAAGAUUGUUCUGAGUGCUGUGCAGAAGCAGCUUUGUGGCUAUACUGGCUUUCUAGUUAUGAUGCACAAGUGAUUGUACUUCUGUAAGGCUAAGCCCUCCUUCAUUCUCAGUAUGACUGCAGAGCAAGAGGAAAUGUAAAGGCUCUGAGUGAGGUAACAGUUACCACCACCUGGCUGAUUCAGCCUUGCAUCAAACAAUAUUAACCCUUUUGCUGAUGCGCAGCACAGACACAUCCUGCUGGUAAGGUGACAUGACAUGCUGCUUCUGCCUGUUGUUUCUCCUGACACCUGGACUCCCAAGAUGAUCACUUUAAAAGUGCUUCACUCCAUGACCCUAAAGAACUAAUUACUUAGUGGGAUUACCAAGAGUGAGGUAGCCUGAGGACAGGCGUUCCUGAAGCUAGCUUUGCAGGUGCUGCCUCAUCAGCUACCACUCAGUAAAGUCUCACCUCUGGUAUCAGUAAGUACCUAAAGGGAGAAGCAUUAUCCAUGCCUGCACCACUGUUUUUCUGAUGUAAGGGUCCCAAGUAAAUGCAGCUACCUCACUGAAAGCCCACCACCCACGUAUCGCCCUGUGCUCCUUCAGUAGCAUACGCUACUGAAGUGGUUGCCCCCUCCAUCCUGACACCUGAGUGUGCAAGUAGAGCUCCCAGCCCUUUUCUGGGUAGCAGAGCUUUCAUAGGCAUUUUCAUCAGGUGUACCAGAGCAACAGGCAGGUCCUGGGACACAUAGUUGUUGCCUUUGGUAAUGGGAGCAUGCGGAUAUUGCUGGUCAGGGAGCAGAUCUCUUUGAGGCCUGGCACUCAUCUCAGUCCCAGGACCUGACGAUGACUUUCCUAAAGGUACCCCCCCGUCAUACCCUUGCUACAGAGGAGUCAGGGAUAUGGCACUGGCCUUGGAGAAGCAGCACCACAAUUUGUUCCAGCAGACAGGGCCGGAACGAGCACAUCCCACCUCAUGGCUCAGCCAGGAUGUUUUGUAAAGCAAAGUGUGAGCCACCAGCUGGGGGGGAGAAAGAGAGAACACAUCUGAUGUUUGCUUCCCUGGUCAUUGAUCCCGCAGGUUUGGGCCAAAACUGCAAGAGAUGCCCCUUUGUGAGGCUGCCUUGUUGACCUCUGCUACUGUCGGGAGUGAAAUGAAGAUUACCCCUGUGGUGAUUCAGGCUGACCUAGAUUUUUAUUUUUAAAACAGACUAGCUGGGGUUACUCAGAAGUUUAUGCUCGGUUCUUGUUUGUUGUUGUUUCUGGGGGACUGUUUUCUUUAACAAGAAAGAAAGCACUCAGAAGCAUGCCUAGGCUUGCUGCAGGUGGUUACACUCAGCUGUAACCUGCCUGGUUGAGAGCUUGGUGAGCAGCGGGAGGAAAAGCGUGCUAGUUUGAACUGGAUUUAGUAGCAAGAAUAUUUUGACUUGGGCAGCAGAAAGAAAAUUGUAUAACACUGUUGUGCUAUCCUGGGUAGGAGAAGCCAAUGAAUUGCAUGACUCUUCUGUCUUCGCAAUCAGUUUGUUAUGCACAGAGCAAUGCCGUGGGAUUAAGCACUUUAUCUGCUGGGCUUCCCCUGGCAGCAUGUGAAGAAGUUCAUUAUAAGUGCUUAUCACAUGAUCCACUUAAUCAAACCACUGGAACUCUGAGAAUAAGUCAUUCUAACAAGACCCGCCAGAGCUGCCUUACAAACCACUCACUGAUAUACUCUUCCUUGGUUCGCAUACAAUGGGUUUCCUUGUGUGGCAGUGCACGAUACAGGAAGUUCAUUAUCCCCAGUCCAAAUGGGGACGUAAAGAAAGGAAGCGGGGCUUAUAAAGAAGCAACAGAUAACUUGCAGAGAUUCUAGUUAGCCACUCAAAUCCCACAUGCAGUUGGGCCAUAAGCCCUUCACGAGAAGAGCAUUCUGGUCUGUAGAGUUACACACAGAGCAGCUACAUAAAUAGCUGGUUUUAGCACUGUAAAAUAGAGAUGACACAGGAGAAGUUAUUUGCUUCUGUUGAUUAGAAGUUAGUGAACAAAAGAUAUGAAAUCAGAACAGAAAGCAUGCUUUUUGCUGGGCAUAGCACAUGUAAUACAAAUAGCAGCAGAGCUGAUCAAUAUCUGAGCUCAUGCAAGGUACCUUGAAAGCCUGCUAACUCUCAUUGUACACUGGGGGUUGAAAUGCUCAGACUCAUGUGACAAGCCAGGAGCUUGCACACAUGCUGGCUACAGCUUGUGCCUGUAUGCUGUACAGCUGGUCAGAUAAAAUGCCUUUCCCUACAACAUACCUGGGGACUGUUCCGGACAUAGGAAACCACUAGGUUGAGAGGUGCACUGUCUCCUCAGCAGAAUUCACUUUGCUUAAGCCCAUCACGAGUUUCUGGCAGUUACUGGUGUUACUAUAUGGUCAGAUCAACAGGCAGUGUCUCACAAGGGCAUGCUACCAGCUACACUGGCCUAUGUAAUGCUGUAAUGUGAUAGAAGGUACAGCAACAAUAGCAGAGCACCACAAUCCUAAGCUGCAACAGCCAUAGACACAGAAAUGAAGAAAAAAAAAAACCACCUGCUUACCUUCAGAAGGCGUCCAGAAGGCAGGGACCUCCAAAGAGAUGCCUUUACCCCCCCCCCACUGCCAAACCUUAAAUGAGGUCUGGGAAGGGGUGGAUCCUGGCUUCACCCCUCCCUGUCAAUCAGGUGCACUGCAUGCACCUGAGCGCCCCUGGGUUGGCCCUGCCUUCCACCAGGUGCUCAAUCACUGUUUCAGGCCAUGGCUUAGUGUUCCCGCUACAGCCUGGACCAGCCUUAACGUAAAGAUGCCCUAUAAUAACAGUUACUAGAUAAUUUUCUCAGGCAGCAGUCUGCAUGUGAGGCGUACACCUCUUCUUUCACCACUCAAGCUUAUGUGAGAGCAGCAUUGGGUCACAAUGGGCUGAAUGUUGCUUUUAGGUGGGGAUGCACAGGCUGAGCCUGUGGAUGAAUGGAACAUUCUUACUACCGGGUUUCUGCUGUUUCGGCUUCUUUACAGCCCCUGCUUCAGGAAAAUCAUCUCUGUUAUAAGACUUGGGGGGAAAUGGACACACAAGAAUUAUUUGUAUGCGCAUAGUAUUUUAUUGAAUAAGUCUCAAAUAGUAACUUUACUUAAGUGGCCAGUUUGCCUUCAUCUCUACUUCUUAUGUAAGGGACCCGGAGCAGAGUGAUAACAUUCUGCUGACUGCAGCAAUUCAGUGGUAAAGUGGAGAUACAUCUUCUUUUUCCAAAUGAUUUCUUAGUGCCUUAUCCAUUGCCCUGUACACGGGGAAAGACACUUUUAAGCAUCUGGAAUCAUUGGCAGAGAUAUCUUUAAUCUUCUUGAAAGAGAAACGGUUGGUUGUCCUCUGAGUGCUGUUAAUUAGGCAUCAAAGAAAAAUUGGCUUCUGUAUCAAUACUAAGACUGGAUCUCAGUGUCUCUGUAUGUCCCAUCUAUAGUAAAAAUUUGGGAGGAAGGCUGCAAUGGGUGUUGUGUUCAUGUGGAUGUAUAUACGUUCCUUCAUGUCAGUGAGAUGCACACAGUAUCUGCUGAGCAUUUAAGUGAUGCUACCAAAUACAAACCCGAGUGGUUUUGGUCGGUACCAAGCCGGGCUGAGUUCUCUCUGCCAGCUUAGGGAUGAAAGAAUCUUUAAUGCGUUAGCUACUCCUGGGCCGUUCAGCUCAAUCCUCACCAGUGUUAUCUUUUUAGAAGUUUUUCUGACUAAAUUGCUUCCUUUGAAGACUGCAGGCUUUUUAACAGCACACUGCAGCACCCGCUGCUUGCUGAAAAUCCUGAGGCCAGCACACCAGAGCAUUGCGCUGCCAAACAUGCCAGUCACAAAACAUCAUGUUCAGUGGAUUUUAACUGGAGGUAGCUGACAGAAAAUAGAAUGGACAUGUUGUAAGAGCUGUCAGGCCAAACAGAAGAAGACAGCUUUGAAGAAAGCCUCAAAGAUAGUAUUUCCAGAAUACAGUCCUUUAGAAGAAGUGAAAAACCCAAAGAAUGAAAUACAGUCAGAAUGAGCUCACUGCAGGUGGUGGCAGUCAUGAUUUUUUAAAGAUCAAUUUUAAUUAUAAACUACUUUAAUCAUUAUUUUUUUGUCCAGUGCCUAGCAUUACGAUACCUUUUUCUUCAGCCCCAGAAAACCACACUUCUGUGGUCCCUGCAGGCAUUCCCACAGCACUUUUUCCACCUUUGGAGGCUGGCGUUACACAGCAGAGAGGACUUUAUCAGCCUGACCUGCAGAUGGGGUGCUGCAAUUCCCUUGCCCCUGGCAGGACUCGGGCCACUCCUUUCCCAGCAGCCAGCCUGCUGGGGUUCACUGUGAGCACCCACAUUCUACCAGAGGUUCCCUGGGCCCUCCUGUUAGCCUGGAGAAGGUUCCAAGGCCUUCCCACCACGAGCAGGUGUCACAAAAUGGCCGCCUUCUGCCGCCACAGCUCGGGGCAGGUGUGAGGCUGCUGCUGGGAACCCCCGGUGUCACCGUGCACCAGUGCGUUCAGCUCAGCCUGCGGGGACCUCUGUCAUCUGCCGCUGGCACAGAUUAAACAGAAGCGACAGCAGGGGAGAAGCUGUUAAAUUAAAGCCAAAGAGUAACGAGAGAGAUGUUUGCUCUGUGAGAUAGCGCGCACCUGUUCUGCGUGCUGAGCGCGCUCUGAGGCCUGCUCUCCUUCCUUACCACAGCUGGCCUUCAUGAAAGGCUGUGCAGCUCCCUGUUCCCUGCCAGGCCCAGGCAUUUCCCUCAGCCUUACCUUGCAGCCAGGCCCCGAGGUGGGCUGCAGGCUGGGGAGAGGUCCCAACCAGUCCUUGCAGUGAGUCUGCCCCACAGGCUGCCCCCUGCCUGCCCUGCCACUGGUCCUGAGGCUGUCUGCCUCAUGGCUCUGUUAUGUGGUACUGAAUGAUGGUGGCUUGAAGGGCUCUCUGGGAGAAAAUCAGCUCCGGGAACAGCAUUUCAUGUCUUGCACGCAGGGUUUUAUAGGAUUACCUUUGUACCAGACCCACCAUACGGUUCCCUCUCUGGAGACACCGAUGUAGCUUAUCUGUGGGAUGAAAACAUUACUACCGUAUUUCUGUCACACAGGUGGCUGACAUAAAAAAUCUUCACACACAUUCAUGUCAUUGGAGUUCUGGCAAGACUGCGAGACAGGCUGCUUCUCACUGAGUUCUGUCUCUCCCUUCAUGCUGCCCUCAUCCCAGUGUUUGCUCUCAUUUUGGGCGGUGCAUUUCCCUCCCACACCCCACAGAUGCGCAGGCACUAGGGAGCAGCCCCCAGUACCUCUGCAGUACUAUGAAGGCAAUGCCUUCGUGCCUGCAGCUCAGCAGCUCCUGCUGGCAGCAGUGCCCACCCGCGGGAGGGGUGCUCGCAUGCUGAAAGCUACUGCCUCACUGUUUGCACAUGAAGUUAAUCACUGACUGAAGAGAUUUACAGAUGCAUUUCUAGGGCUGCUCCUGUUAUAUUUUCCUCUCCUGGCCUCAAGGCUCUUGUUUUCUGUAAUUUCCUUCCUAAAGUUCCCUGUAACCCUAAUCUCUUUUAGCAUGAACAUGUUAGUUUUGAAGCUGCCUGCGUGUUUCCAGCCUCUCCUUCUCCCUCACCUGCCGAUUAUUUCUUUUCCUCCGUCCUCUCCCUACUUAUGUUGUUUGCAGAAACCUGCCUUUCCC